AGUUCCUAUACGUACGUUCUAAGAGUUUCGUUGUCUGUCACAGUCAACGGCAGUCUCUUAUCGGUCGAGCGUUUCCAAUCAAUUAGAAAACAAUAAUUUGAGUGGAAGCAGCAGUUCCAACCCAAGCGCAUAUGGACCAACACGUGACUACUAGUGCCGGUUCCGUUCGAUUCGUCAGCGUUUCGUCAAGACCGACGCAGAUAAGAUGAUCAGCUGACAGAUAAAGGCCCGAGAGGUUAACGGAAUG
This is a long non-coding RNA of Culex pipiens pallens (northern house mosquito), 247 nucleotides long. RefSeq lists it as uncharacterized. The transcript is spliced from 2 exons. Lineage: Eukaryota; Metazoa; Arthropoda; Insecta; Diptera; Culicidae. The record is from RefSeq and is a predicted model, not a curated record.